GUGUUUGUUGCCUGCGAUGAACCGUCACACCGCUACGAGAUCUGAAAGGUCACUCUCUAGCAACUCCCUCAUAUGUAUCUUCAGUCUGAGUAGUUUUAAUGGUUUUGUGAUAUCAUGUGUUAGCUUAAUCCCAUAAGUUCUUUAUCAGACAUACUUGGUGAGUUGAAUGCAAUCAGAAUCACAAUCACCGACCGUAUACCAGGGGCACAUCGUGUGAUGCUAACUCUGCGUCUUUAAAGUGGUGAAAACGUUUGUGUUAGUAUAUGCUUGAUUCAAUGGCUCUUGCGUUUCAUUUCAUACCAAAUUUGACAGCUAUGGGAAAGAGCCAAAAGUUAUAAUUGCCACGAGCGUGAAUCCUAAGAUAGUUGGUGGUGACUUAUUAACAGACCAAGAAAGCUUCAACAAUGCCAAGCAAUGGCUAAACCAAAUCGGCCGCUACACCAGUGACAAUGUGAACAAGCUACUGGUUGGGAACAAUUGUGAUCUCACUUCACAGAAAGUUGUAUCCGCUGAAACAACCAAGAUGAACAUGAGAUCCCAUUCUUGGAGACACGUGCCAAGAAUGCUACCAAUGUCGAAGAAUGCUACCGUGUUUUCCACAUUCGACGGUGAAAUGACGAAGCUGAUUAGUGUCCAUGCUGCAGAGGUCCCACAAAUUAUAGUUGUCACAAAGAAACAGAUGUGAUCCAAUUUCUUAUAAAUAAAGGUUCUCUUAAAGCUUGCUCAUCAACUCAUGUUUGUUGAAGUAAUCAAAACCUAGGUACAGCAGCGUGCUUAAUCCAUCGAAGAUUGCUUCAUAAAAAAGGCCCGAUAAAGACAAGACGACCAAAAGACCACUGAUUUUACGGACACCACAUUUAAGAUAUUUUCUUAACUACUCUGUUUCAUAAACACUCUGGCGGCCACCCAACUUCAGAGUUAACGAAUAGUUAAAUUUCUUAAACAGAGCCCAACGAUGAAGUUCAUCUUGCCGGAGAUUGCUGUAAAACAAAUGAAUGAUUAGAAACAGAAGCACACAUGUAAAAAGCUACCAAAUCAUUUUUUUUUACAUGCAAUGAAAUAAAAGAUAAUAAUAUGGCCUUAGUUGUUUGAGUAUUUCUUUUUGCUUUGGGUUUUUGGUUUCAACUAUAUAAUUAUUUUCUCAAACUUGAUUUACAAGGUUAGAACUUAGAAUAAAUCACUAAAAUGUUAAUAAAUAUUUACUACAAAUAAGAUACAUGUUCGAACUUGGAGCUGGAUGCAGAGACUAUGAAAAAAAAAUAUUGAUACCACAAGAGCAAAAAACAUAUUUUCGUUAUUUAAGUGAAAUAUAAUAAAAGUGUUCUACAAUACCUUUUCUUUUCUGUUGACAAAUGAAAAGAAUACAUUUUUCGAUUAAAACUUAACCGAAAAACUCGAGAAGAUAAAACAUGCUAGAUUAGCAAAAAAAAUGUGAUUUUAGUAUUUGAUAUUUUAAACAUAACAACAGUCUGUGGUGUUACACGAAAAGAAAAAAACAAUGUGGUAUUAACAAUGGAGACAAAGGCAGAAACAAUAAACUACGAAAGCAUAAGAAAAAGAUGUCAAUAGACACCAUAAAGCGAUGGAGUAGCCAACGAUAAAGAAGAAAGAAACAUAUGAUAGUGUUGGGUGAAUUUUAGUGUUUGAUUAAGGAAACUUUUGAAUAAAAACAUUGUUAGAGACACACUCAUAAUCAUGGAUCAUAAAAUACAUUAACAUGUACCACAAUCAAGUAUAAAACUCUAACAUACAAUUAAAAAAAAUUAAUAUAUACUACACAUAUAAUCUCAUGCAAGAUGAAGCAAAAAAAAAUAUAAACUCAUGCAAAUACAACA
Brassica rapa (field mustard) is the source of this 1835-nucleotide long non-coding RNA. RefSeq lists it as uncharacterized. The record is from RefSeq and is a predicted model, not a curated record. Lineage: Eukaryota; Viridiplantae; Streptophyta; Magnoliopsida; Brassicales; Brassicaceae.